GUAAAAUUCAUUCCUUUAAUAUUACCCAACUGAUCAUCUUCCUCAUUCUCCUUUCUUCGUUCCUUUCUGCUGCUGCUGCUUCUCUCUUUUUUUUUUUCCUUUUUCUUUUUUUUUCCGGUUUUCUUCUCCCCUCUCUCUCUUUCUUUCUCUUUCUCUCCUCCUUCCUCUCCCUGUCUCGCCAUGGCUGCAGGAUGGCGACGAUGAACCCGUCGGUGACCAAGAACAGCCGACGACAACCACGAACGGCCGACGACGAGACCUUGCCGGAUCUAGGGAUGGCGACGAUGAACCCGUCGGUGACCAAGAACAGCCGACGACAACCACGAACGGCCGACGACGAGACCUUGCCGGAUCUAGGGUCAUCUGGUGUUAACUAAUGAUUCGGUGGAUUGAGGAUUUGCAUCCACUUCCUUCCUCAAUUAGAGUACAUCUGAAAGAAGCAUAUGUCAGUGAUGGUGCUAUAAGCUCGAUUCAGUCAGGAACUUGGAUUUGAUAAUUUUGGAAGCAGAGAGCAACUUGUCAUGAGGUUACAAGCAAACUGGAAUAUUUAAACUAUUGUUCUCUUCUUUCUUUUCUUUCACAUUUUCCUAUCUUUCCAUUGUGUUUCUUUUUUUCUUCAUGGAUUACAAGCAAACUGGAAUAUUUAAACAAACCUUUAGUGUUGACUUGGAAAUGGAAAUGAAUGCAACUAUUUUGCAAUGGGAGCAAAUUCUUUGUUUAUCAUAA
Long non-coding RNA from Asparagus officinalis (garden asparagus), 726 nucleotides. RefSeq lists it as uncharacterized. Lineage: Eukaryota; Viridiplantae; Streptophyta; Magnoliopsida; Asparagales; Asparagaceae. The transcript has 4 exons. The record is from RefSeq and is a predicted model, not a curated record.